Molecule: long non-coding RNA, 1444 nt
Organism: Phyllostomus discolor (pale spear-nosed bat)
Lineage: Eukaryota; Metazoa; Chordata; Mammalia; Chiroptera; Phyllostomidae
Exons: 2
Source: RefSeq, a predicted model, not a curated record
GCAGAAUGUCUAAAUGGGGCAUCUGUGAAGCAGCUUCUACUCUAAUAAGUUCUUACCACGGAGUGUGCGGUGUGACACUUCCCAGUUUGGAAACAAAGGUGGAAUUUGGUUGCCACCAAGGGUCACGCGCAAUAGAGACAGCACAGAGGAGGGGAGAUCUCUUUCGGCAGCAAUCCGAGGGACCAGAAAGCAGCUGUUACCGGGGUGGGGGUGGGGGGGAACUGUGUCCCCCGGAGGCUCAUGUGCUGAAGUCCUGACCCCUAGUACCUCAGAAUGUGACUGCAUGUAAAGAUAAGGUGUGUAAAGAAGGAAUUAAAUUAGAAUAAGGAAAAAGAUGAAGGGACUACGAAGGACGGAUUGGCAGUUGUAAGAAUAGUAUAUGGAGAUGUGAAGUACAGCCCAGGAAAUGCAGUCAAUAAUAUUGUGGUAACUGUGCGUGGUGUCAGGUGGGAAGGAGACUUACCUGGGCGAUCCCUUUGUAAGUUAUACAAAUGUCUAACCACUGUGUUGUACACCUGAAAUCACUAUAAUCAUUGUAUGUCAACUGUGGUUAAAUUUUUAAAAUUAUAAUAAAUACACAAACAAAUAAAGAAUGAGGUCAUUAGGAGAGGCCCUAAUCCCGUAUGACUGGUCUCCUACCCCGGGAUUCUACCACUCCCCACGCUCUGCCCAGGACGGAGGGGAGGGUUUCUUCCAUCUCACUGUGUUCAUGGUCGCAGAGACCCCUCCCAGGAUGCCCCCUGCAUCGACUCCUCACCGCCAGUCCCUCUGCUGUAGAGAAUCUUUUCUAACUCCCGACCAGCAAGCCUUCUCCUACAUAACUGAGCAUUCUCACAACUCCGUUACAUGGUUUCUGCACAAGCACCCUUUCAGUUUCCCUUUGAGGUUUGGACUUUUGAACAGAUCAGAGAAAAUGCCGGUUUUUCUUUUUAGGUCCCAUCACUUGUUCCCCGAGGCAAUAUGCACCCAGUGGAAAGCAUGGGGGUGACACAAAGGAGCGAUGGCGACAGGAAGUUAGACCUCCUCCAGAAUUUAUGAGAUUCAGCCCCGGCUGCGGUUGUGACCCACACCAGAGCAUCACAAGCUUCCGUGCGUAUCUCCACGAGGUGGCGUGUCUGCUAGGGACUGAAGAAGGUGGAGACACGGCUAUAUGGAGGCAUCAUGAAAGGAGCAAUUCUGCCUUCACAUCUUUCCUUUCGUACCCCAUCAUUGCCCCUGAGACAUUCAUGCCGAAAUCUGAAUCUGGCAGUUUAAAAGGUGUUCUUCAUAUUUUCAAAUGUUUAAAAGUUCGGGAAAGAAUACCAACAACUCUGACCAUUUUCCUUUUCAUUGUACUACAACUUCAAAGCUGGGUAUUUAAGCCAAAUGUUUUUUAUAUUUGGAGGAGGAAUGUGUGUGUACUCCUAUAUGUGUGCAUUGCUUUUUGCUUAAUAAAAUUUUGAAA